Phoenix dactylifera (date palm) is the source of this 4640-nucleotide RNA transcript. It is a transcript of the gene named ketose-bisphosphate aldolase class-II family protein, with no coding region annotated. The record is from RefSeq and is a predicted model, not a curated record. NCBI's taxonomy places the organism in Eukaryota, Viridiplantae, Streptophyta, Magnoliopsida, Arecales, Arecaceae.
CCAGUCCUCCGACACGUCACGUGACUGCGUAUCACAGCCUCUGAUGCCGUGAUCCCUAAUCAGAGAAAGAAGAAUCUAUUUCCACCGUCACGGACGGCCAUGAUGGUCCCAACUUCAACUCUUCUCGAGUCUCACACCCCGAUUUUAUUUUUAUUAGACUUUCCCUCUCGACCGAACGGAGCGCUUGUUCUCACUCGCUCCAUCGCGAGAGAGAUCGAUCGAGUAGUAGAAAGGGGAAGUCGAAGAGCUGAGAUCACGGUUAUGGCGUCUUCAAACGUGGUCGGAUUCGUGGGGCUGGACGAGCUGAGCUUGGAACUCGCUUCCUCGCUCAUCCGAUCGGGCUUCCGCGUUCAGGGAUUCGAGGUGGUUGGGUCAUCGGUGAUCGACCGGUUCUUGGAGUUGGGUGGAGCCAAAUGUGCCAGCCCCAUGGAGGCAGCAAGAAAUGCUACAGCUAUGAUAAUAGUGGCUUCUGCAGAUGAAAUGACUGAGGUUUUCUUUGGGAAGGAGGGUGUAGUAAGAGGAUUGUGUAUGGAAGCUGUUGUUAUUCUUCAAUCCACAUUAUCGCCAAGUCAUAUUCAGAAGCUAGAGAAGAAUCUCUCAGUUGAGGCAGGGAAUCUGGUUCUUGUCGAUGCACAAAUUUUUCAAGGAGUUUCGGAGCCUCUGAAAGGAAAAAAUAUUGUUGUCACAUCAGGAAGCCAAAUUGCAAUGCGGAGGGCUCGACCUGUUCUGUCUGCUAUCAGUGAAAAGGUUUUUUCAUAUGAAGGUGAAGUUAGUGUUGGAAGAAAGAUCCGGAUGGUAAAUGAUCUGCUUGAGGGUAUUCAUCUUGUUGCUUUGGUGGAGGCAAUAUUUCUUGGUGUUCGAGCAGGAAUUCAUCCAUCUAUUCUCUAUGACAUAAUCUCAAAUGCUGCUGGAAGUUCUUGGAUCUUUGUGGAUACAGUUCCCAAAUUGUUGAGUGGUGACCACUUAUUGACAAAAUCUUUGAGCACUCUAGUAAAAAAUGUGGGAUUUGUGUUGGACAUGGCCAAAGCAGUCACAUUUCCUCUUCCACUUUUGGUCAUUGCAUAUCAGCAGUUAAUACAGGCCUCUUCAUGUACUUGUGGAGACUUUGCUUCUGCUUCACCAUGGAAGAUCUGGGAACAAAUGUUUGGAGUUAAUAUUAGAGAUGCAGCUAAUCAGAAGUCCUAUAACCCUGGUCACCUAGCAGAGCAACUUUCUGUGACAUCCAAAGGUGUAAAAAGAAUUGGUUUUAUUGGUCUUGGAGCAAUGGGUUUUGGCAUGGCAACACAUUUGCUAAGGUCAAAUUUCUACAUCAUUGCUUACGAUGUGUAUAAGCCAACUCUAAAUAGGUUUGCAGAUUUAGGUGGGAUAGUGGGGUCCUCUCCUGAAGGAGUAGCUAAAGAUGUAGAAGUGCUUAUUGUCAUGGUUGCAAAUGAAGCUCAAGCUGAAAGUGUUCUAUAUGGAAAUUCUGGUUCAGUGUUUGCACUUCCAGCUGGAGCAACUAUAAUUCUUUCUUCUACAGUCUCCCCAGGUUUUAUAACUCGUCUUGAGCAACGAUUAAAAGAUGAGAACAAGAGCUUAAAAUUGGUGGAUGCACCUGUAUCUGGUGGUGUCAAAAGAGCAGCUGAUGGAACACUUACGAUAAUGGUUUCGGGCACAGAUGAAGCUCUCUCAUGUGCUGGUUCUAUUCUCUCAACGCUAAGUGAGAAGCUCUAUGUCAUUGAAGGUGGAUGUGGAGCUGCAAGUUCUGUGAAGAUGGUUAAUCAACUGCUUGCUGGAGUUCAUAUAGCUGCAGCAGCAGAAGCCAUGGCAUUUGGAGCUCGAUUGGAUCUAAACACCAGAAUGCUUUUUGAAAUAAUUAAACAUGGAGGAGGUUAUUCAUGGAUGUUUGGAAAUCGUGUGCCACACAUGUUAGAAAAUGAUUACACACCAUGCUCUGCAGUUGAUAUCUUUGUCAAAGAUCUUGGCAUCGUGUCUAAUGAAAGCUCCAAUCUUAAGAUCCCACUUCAUAUUUCAAAUGCUGCCCACCAACUUUUUCUUUCAGGUUCUGCUUCUGGCUGGGGUCGAUAUGAUGAUGCUGCUGUUGUUAAGGUCUAUGAGACACUAACUGGUGUUAAAGUUGAAGGGAAAGCUUUUCUUCUUAAUAAAGAAGACCUGUUAAAGUCUCUUCCAUCUGAAUGGCCAGCGGAUCCAAUGGAAGAUCUUCAUUUACUGGAGUACCCGACUACCUCAAAAGUUUUAGUAGUUUUGGAUGAUGACCCCACUGGAACUCAAACUGUUCAUGACAUUGAAGUCUUAACAGAAUGGAGAAUUGAGACACUUGUUGAGCAGUUCAGCAAAAGGCCUACCUGUUUCUUUAUUUUAACUAAUUCACGAUCAUUAAGCACUGAGAAGGCUAUCUUGUUAACAAAAGAUAUCUGUAGAAAUGUAGACACUGCAGCUAAAAGAGUUACAGGCAUUAAUUACACAGUGGUGUUGAGAGGUGAUUCAACUCUUCGUGGUCACUUUCCAGAAGAAGCUGAUGCGGCUAUUUCAGUAUUAGGCGAGAUGGAUGCGUGGAUCAUUUGUCCUUUCUUUCUACAAGGUGGACGUUACACUAUUAAUGACAUUCACUAUGUUGCAGAUGCUGAUAGGCUUGUACCUGCUGGGGAGACUGAGUUCUCCAAGGAUGCUGCCUUUGGUUACAAAUCUUCUAAUCUCAGAGAGUGGGUUGAAGAGAAAACAAAAGGGCGAAUUCCAGCCGGCAGUGUUUCUUCAAUUUCUAUUGAUCUCUUGCGUAAAGGAGGGCCUGUUGCUGUUUGCAAGCAUCUCUGUAGCUUGCAAAAGGGGUCAAUAUGUAUCGUUAAUGCUGCAAGUGAAAGAGAUGUAACUGUAAUCGCCGCAGGAAUGAUCCAGGCAGAAAUGAAAGGAAAACGUUUUUUAUGCCGCACUGCUGCAAGUUUUGUAUCUGCUCGAAUUGGAAUAAGGCCAAAGCCUCCUAUCUGUCCAAGGGAUCUUGGCAUAACCAAAGAUAAAUUUGGAGGUCUCAUAAUUGUCGGUUCAUAUGUUCCAAAAACCACCAAGCAGGUUGAAGAACUAAAGGCGCAGUUGGGCCAUACGCUAAGAUGCAUAGAGGUGUCUGUUGAUAAAAUUUCCAUGAAGUCGAUUGAAGAGAGAGAGGAAGAGAUUAGUCAUUUAGCUGAAAUUGCAUCUGCUUCCUUGAAGGCCAGGAAAGAUACUCUUUUGAUGACCAGCAGGCAACUUAUUACAGGAAAAUCUCCAGAAGAAAGUUUAGAAAUUAACUACAAGGUCAGCUCUGCACUUGUGGACGUUGUUAGGCGAAUUAAUGCUCGACCUCGUUAUAUCCUUGCCAAGGGUGGAAUCACUUCAUCAGAUCUUGCUACGAAAGCUUUAGAAGCCCAGCGUGCUAGGGUAAUUGGACAAGCAUCAGCCGGUGUGCCCUUAUGGCAGUUAGGACCAGAAAGUAGACACCCUGGGGUUCCAUACAUUGUUUUCCCAGGUAAUGUUGGCGAUAAAACUGCACUGGCUGAAGUUGUAAAAAACUGGGCCUGUCCUCCUAGAAGUUCAACCAAAGCUAUUCUUCUUAAUGCGGAGAAGGGUGGAUAUGCUGUUGGUGCAUUCAAUGUUUAUAAUCUUGAAGGGGUAGAAGCAGUUAUUUCAGCUGCAGAGGCUGAAAGCAGUCCCGCUAUAUUGCAGGUACAUCCAGGUGCUUUGAAGGUAGGAGGGCUCUCUUUGGUUGCAUGUUGCAUUUCUGCUGCUGAACAGGCCAGACCUUUUUUUGGCAGGUGCCAAUUGCUAUUCACUUUGAUCACGGAAAUUCAAAAACUGAGCUGCUUGAAGCUCUUGAGUUGGGCUUUGAUUCAGUCAUGGUUGAUGCAUCACAUAUUCCUGUAAAGGAGAAUAUCUUGUGCACAAAGUACAUAUCAGUUUUGGCGCACACAAAAGGACUGCUUGUGGAAGCUGAACUCGGGCGGUUGUCAGGCACUGAAGAUGACUUGACAGUUGAAGAUUAUGAAGCCAGAUUAACUGAUGUCACUCAGGCUCAAGAAUUUAUUGAUAAGACAGGCAUUGAUGCUUUAGCGGUUUGCAUAGGAAAUGUACAUGGAAAAUACCCAUCUAGUGGUCCCAAUUUAAGACUUGACUUGCUAAAGAAACUUCGUGCAUUAACUGUUGAGAGAGGAGUAAGUUUGGUUCUGCACGGAGCAUCCGGUCUGCCCAAAGAGAUUAUAAAGGAAUGCAUAGCAUUAGGUGUAAGAAAGUUCAACGUGAACACAGAAGUCCGGAGUUCCUACUUGGAGUCUCUCCAGAAGCCCCACAAAGACUUGGUUCAUGUGAUGGCGUCUGCAAAGGAGGCAAUGCAAGCUGUGAUUGCAGAGAAGAUGCAUCUCUUCGGUUCGGCAGGAAAGGCAUGGUAAUAAUCACAAGUUUAUAGCUGAUUGCAGAGAAGAGCUCAUUCCUCUUCCCUAUAUCUGUCAUUUAUGUUUAAAACCUUGUAUUGACUGCUAGACUUGGUGCAUAUGCCUUCAAACAUGGCAUUGUCUCCUUACCAUUAAAAAAAAUCUUGCCAAAUUGUUAUUUAUUGUUCUUUUUAUUGACCCUUUGAUCUGCAUUUUAAUAGAUUGUUCCUGCCGGGCUUGGCUCAA